Molecule: ribosomal RNA, 436 nt
Filed under: uncultured Sphingobacterium sp.
Lineage: Bacteria; Pseudomonadati; Bacteroidota; Sphingobacteriia; Sphingobacteriales; Sphingobacteriaceae
Description: bacterial SSU rRNA
Rfam family: Bacterial small subunit ribosomal RNA
Source: RNAcentral
GAGUUUGAUCGUGGCUCAGGAUGAACGCUAGCGGCAGGCCUAAUACAUGCAAGCCGAGGGGCAGCACAGUUUUCGGACUGGUGGCGACCGGCAGACGGGUGCGUAACGCGUAUGCAACCUACCCGCCACAGGGGGAUAGCCCGGGGAAACCCGGAUUAACACCCCAUAAAACAGGGGCAUCACAUGGUGCUAUUUGUUAAAACUGCGGUGGUGGCGGAUGGGCAUGCGUCUGAUUAGCUAGUUGGUAGUGUAACGGACUACCAAGGCGACGAUCAGUAGGGGACCUGAGAGGGUGAUCCCCCACACUGGUACUGAGAUACGGACCAGACUCCUACGGGAGGCAGCAGUAGGGAAUAUUGGGCAAUGGGUGAGAGCCUGACCCAGCCAUGCCGCGUGCAGGAAGAAGGCGUUCUGCGUUGUAAACUGCUUUUUGAUC